This 253-nucleotide ribosomal RNA is filed under the name uncultured bacterium. RNAcentral's name for it is "partial 16S ribosomal RNA". It matches the Rfam family "Bacterial small subunit ribosomal RNA", at positions 524 to 776 of the family's 1533-position model. The record is from RNAcentral.
UACAGAGGGUGCGAGCGUUAAUCGGAAUUACUGGGCGUAAAGCGCACGCAGGUGGCUGAGUCAGUCGAUUGUGAAAGCCCUGGGCUUAACCUGGGAAUUGCAGUCGAUACUACUCAGCUAGAGUAUGGGAGAGGGUAGUGGAAUUCCCGGUGUAGCGGUGAAAUGCGUAGAUAUCGGGAGGAACAUCAGUGGCGAAGGCGGCUACCUGGCCCAAUACUGACACUCAGGUGCGACAGCGUGGGGAGCAAACAGG